RNAcentral lists this long non-coding RNA (533 nucleotides) under Diabrotica virgifera virgifera (western corn rootworm). Its description in RNAcentral is "uncharacterized LOC126883051". The record is from RNAcentral. Lineage: Eukaryota; Metazoa; Arthropoda; Insecta; Coleoptera; Chrysomelidae.
GCCAUGGACCAUGAUCAAGGUUCAUAGAUAGGGGUUAGGUUAUCUCAUAACUAUGUGGGCGGAAGCGAGAGGGAGGGGAAUGCCUACGUCACUCGUACGACAAAGUCAAGUUUGACAGUUGUUUGUGGUUAUAUUUCCGUAUAUUUUUGUGGAAUUUUCUUAUAAUAUCGUUUAUUUGUUUAAUAUUUGUUGAGUUUUUAAGCAUAUAAGGACAAUAUUACUAUAAUUACUUAUUUGGGUCCUAUACAAAGGCAGUAAUGACUUGUGAAGUGUGUUUUCGUAACCGUGUAAAAUGAGUGGUGCUAACAUUUGUAGCAUAGCUAUAUGUAACAGCAACUCCAAAAUUCCUGAACCAGAUGGAAACAAAAUAAUGUUUUUGGACAUUUCCCAAAUACCUUAACAUUAUCAAACAAUAAUGGAUAAUAAAAUGUUACAUAAGAAAAUAGGUAGCAAACAUUUCCUCGUGUCUGAAUAUGUUAAUAUUAUGUUACGUCUUUUUUAUAUUUUAACCUAAUAAUAAAUUAUUUAUAUUA